CAGGCUGAUUUAUACCAUGUAAUGAUAUACAUGUUCUUGAGUCCAACAGAUGAAUUAGGGGAAAAUCAACUCUUUGCAGGACAAAAGAUGGUACAGCAAGUUCUCUUAUUACUGGCCCUUGUUUCGGUGCCAUGGAUGCUGCUUCCAAAGCCUUUCCUUAUGAAGAAGCAGCACGAAGAUAGGCACUUAGGACAAUCAUACACACCACUUCAGAGUACUGAGGAGUCUCUUCAAGUGGAGGUGAAUCAUGAUUCCCAUGGUCA
Molecule: unclassified non-coding RNA, 263 nt
Filed under: Hevea brasiliensis (rubber tree)
Lineage: Eukaryota; Viridiplantae; Streptophyta; Magnoliopsida; Malpighiales; Euphorbiaceae
Source: RNAcentral